This 225-nucleotide long non-coding RNA is filed under the name Elaeis guineensis (African oil palm). RNAcentral describes it as "long non-coding RNA (EGUI_LNC075012)". Lineage: Eukaryota; Viridiplantae; Streptophyta; Magnoliopsida; Arecales; Arecaceae. The record is from RNAcentral.
GCAAGAUGGUUGGAAGGCUUGGUCUAGGAAUUUCAAGGAAAAAAGAUAAAUAAAAAUAUGAAGAUAAUGAAGAAGAAUGGUAGUGAUACUAGAAUUAGGAUCUCUUCUAUAUUUGAUGGAAGGAAUAUAAGGGUUAGGACUUUUUUUAGAUUUCUUAGGCAUGAAAAAGGAAUAGAAGAUGGCUAGAUUGUGGAGGCUUAAUUAGGGCUCAUGGGAGAUGAUCUU